Molecule: ribosomal RNA, 253 nt
Filed under: uncultured bacterium
Lineage: Bacteria
Description: partial 16S ribosomal RNA
Rfam family: Bacterial small subunit ribosomal RNA
Source: RNAcentral
UACGUAGGGGGCAAGCGUUGUCCGGAAUUAUUGGGCGUAAAGAGCGUGUAGGCGGUCCGGUAAGUCAGCUGUGAAAGUCAAGGGCUCAACCCUUGAAAGCCGGUUGAUACUGUCGGGCUAGAGUCCGGAAGAGGCGAGUGGAAUUCCCGGUGUAGCGGUGAAAUGCGCAGAUAUCGGGAGGAACACCGGUGGCGAAGGCGGUUCUCUGGGCCUUACCUGACGCUGAGGAGCGAAAGCGUGGGGAGCGAACAGG